This 425-nucleotide ribosomal RNA is filed under the name uncultured bacterium. RNAcentral's name for it is "partial 16S ribosomal RNA". It matches the Rfam family "Bacterial small subunit ribosomal RNA", at positions 354 to 796 of the family's 1533-position model. The record is from RNAcentral.
GUUAGGAAUAUUGGACAAUGGGCGAAAGCCUGAUCCAGCCAUGCCGCGUGAACGAUGAAGGCCUUCGGGUUGUAAAGUUCUUUAGCCGAUGAUUAUAAUGACUGUAGUCGGAAAAUAAGCCCCGGCUAACUUCGUGCCAGCAGCCGCGGUAAUACGAAGGGGGCGAGCGUUAUUCGGAAUCACUGGGCGUAAAACGUGCGUAGGCGGUUUUGUAAGUUAGGAGUGAAAGCCCAGGGCUCAACCUUGGAAUUGCUCUUAAAACUGCAAGGCUCGAAUCUCGGAGAGGAUAGCGGAAUUUCCAGUGUAGCAGUGAAAUGCGUAGAUAUUGGAAGGAACACCAGUGGCGUAAGCGGCUAUCUGGACGAGUAUUGACGCUGAGGCACGAAAGCGUGGGGAUCAAACAGGAUUAGAAACCCCAGUAGUCC